CGAGGCGGACGGGUGGCCGCUCCGCUCCGUCGUGGAGCGGGGAGGAAAGUCCGGGCUCCGCAGAGCAGCGCGCUGGGUAACACCCAGUCGGGGUGACCCGAAGGAAAGUGCCACAGAAAUGACACCGCCGUUUCCGGAGACGGAACCGGCAAGGGUGAAAUGGUGGGGUAAGAGCCCACCGGCGGCCGGGUGACCGGCCGGCCAGGCAAACCCCGCGCGGAGCAAGACCAAAUAGGAGGGCGUUCCCUGAAAGGGGCCCCGCCGGCCUUCGGGCGCGGCGGGUGACGAGGCGGCUCGCCCAGCCCUCGGGUAGCGGUCGCUGGAGGCGCCGGGCAACCGGCGUCCGAGAUAGAUGGCCACCCCUUCCGCAAGGAGGGACAGAACCCGGCUUACAGUCCGCUCUCGACCC
Molecule: RNase P RNA, 409 nt
Filed under: Candidatus Dormiibacterota bacterium
Lineage: Bacteria; Bacillati; Candidatus Dormiibacterota
Description: RNase P RNA component class A
Rfam family: Bacterial RNase P class A
About the family: Ribonuclease P (RNase P) is a ubiquitous endoribonuclease, found in archaea, bacteria and eukarya as well as chloroplasts and mitochondria.
Source: RNAcentral